UGCAUCGGAACGUGCCCAUCGGAUGGGGGAGUAACUGGACGCGAAAGCGUUGCUAAUACCGCAUACGACCUACGGGUGAAAGCAGGGGACCGCAAGGCCUUGCGUCGAUGGAGCGGCCGAUGCCGGAUUAGCUAGUUGGUGAGGUAAAGGCUCACCAAGGCGACGAUCCGUAGCUGGUCUGAGAGGACGACCCAGCCACACUGGGACUGAGACACGGCCCAGACUCCUACGGGAGGCAGCAGUGGGGAAUCUUGGACAAUGGGCGAAAGCCUGAUCCAGCAAUGCCGCGUGUGGGAAGAAGGCCUUCGGGUUGUAAACCACUUUUGGCGGGAAAGAAAUGGUCUGUGCUAAUACCACGGAUUGAUGACGGUACCCGCAGAAUAAGCACCGGCUAACUACGUG
RNAcentral lists this ribosomal RNA (402 nucleotides) under uncultured bacterium. Its description in RNAcentral is "bacterial SSU rRNA". It matches the Rfam family "Bacterial small subunit ribosomal RNA", at positions 114 to 507 of the family's 1533-position model. The record is from RNAcentral.